CUUUUUCUAUAUAUAAAUACAUAUAUAUAUCUAUAUAUAUAAAUUAAGCUUUUUUGCUGUAAGUUGUUAGAUGUUAGUGUGCGGUGUUGCACAAAAUGAGUAGACUUCAAUAAUCCCGUGGCGACGACCGACGUUCUUUAUUAUCAAAAAUCAACUAAAGUACAGUGACAUAAAUUCUUAUAUCCAAAGCUAGCCCUAAACCC
Molecule: long non-coding RNA, 203 nt
Organism: Drosophila navojoa
Lineage: Eukaryota; Metazoa; Arthropoda; Insecta; Diptera; Drosophilidae
Source: RefSeq, a predicted model, not a curated record